This 250-nucleotide ribosomal RNA is filed under the name uncultured bacterium. RNAcentral's name for it is "partial 16S ribosomal RNA". It matches the Rfam family "Bacterial small subunit ribosomal RNA", at positions 524 to 772 of the family's 1533-position model. The record is from RNAcentral.
UGCGUAGAGUGCAAACGUUAUCCGGAUUUAUUGGGCGUAAAGAGUUGCGUAGGCUGAUUGGUGCAUUUUGCUUGAAAGCCCAUGGCUUAACCAUGGUUUUGGGCAAAAUAUGGCCAAUCUAGAUAUUAUGGGAGGGUGCUGGAACCGAUGGUGUAGCAGUGAAAUGCGUUGAUAUCAUCGGGAACACCAAAGGCGUAGGCAGGCACCUAACAUACAUAUGACGCUGAGGCACGAAAGCUGGGGGAGCGAA